UUAGACUGCGGAAGAUACUGCUGGGCUAGAGGACGGGAGAGGUCGACGGUAGUCCUGGGGUAGGGGUGAAAUCCUAUAAUCCCAGGAGGACCACCAGUGGCGAAGGCGGUCGACUAGAACGUGCCUGACGGUGAGGGACGAAAGCUGGGGGAGCGAACCGGAUUAGACACCCGGGUAGUCCCAGCUGUAAACGAUGCGGGCUAGGUGUUGGAACAGCCAUGAGCUGCUCCAGUGCCGCAGAGAAGUUGUUAAGCCCGCCGCCUGGGAAGUACGGCCGCAAGGCUGAAACUUAAAGGAAUUGGCGGGGGAGCACCACAAGGGGUGAAGGCUGCGGUUCAAUUGGAGUCAAUGCCGGGAAACUUACCGGGGCUGACAGCAGAGUGAAAGUCAGACUAAAGGUCUUACUAGACAAGCUGAGAGGAGGCGCAUGGCCGUCGCCAGUUCGUGCCGUGAGGUGUCCUGUUAAGUCAGGCAACGAACGAGACCCCCAUCACUAGUUGCCAGCGAAUCUCAAUGAGAUGCCGGGCACACUAGUGGAACUGCCGCCGACAA
RNAcentral lists this ribosomal RNA (552 nucleotides) under uncultured archaeon. RNAcentral's name for it is "bacterial SSU rRNA". It matches the Rfam family "Archaeal small subunit ribosomal RNA", at positions 566 to 1117 of the family's 1478-position model. The record is from RNAcentral.